RNAcentral lists this ribosomal RNA (1260 nucleotides) under uncultured Pyronemataceae. RNAcentral describes it as "eukaryotic LSU rRNA". The stretch from base 749 to 1260 matches the Rfam family "Eukaryotic large subunit ribosomal RNA", at positions 1 to 512 of the family's 3401-position model. The record is from RNAcentral. Lineage: Eukaryota; Fungi; Ascomycota; Pezizomycetes; Pezizales; Pyronemataceae.
AGGAUCAUUAUCAUGUAAUUCAGUCAUGCUUGAUGCGUGAGCUGUAAUAUACCCACCCUGUGUACCACCUCCUGUUGCUUCCUUCCGCUGGGUCCAGAUAAAAAUGUGCCUGGCGGAAGGGUAAAAAAAUCAACCUCCAAGUUUACAGCGGAAUCUGUCUGAUCAAAAUAAGAAUACAAGGAAAUUUUAAAACUUUCAGCAACGGAUCUCUUGGUUCUCGCAUCGAUGAAGAACGCAGCGAAAUGCGAUAAGUAGUGUGAAUUGCAGAAUUCAGUGAAUCAUCGAAUCUUUGAACGCACAUUGCGCCUUCUGGUAUUCCGGGAGGCAUGCCUGUUCGAGAGUCAUUGACAACCAUCUCGAAUCCCCCUUCUAGAGUCCUCGAGGGUUUUUGGGGGAUAUCGGUUCUGGUGGACGAGGAAUAGUGGGCUGCUGGCAGGAUCCCUCCCUAACACACCAAAAUUCAGCGCGUUCGGCGAUGAGCGCUGCGCUGCUGUUUUGGUGGAUGAACAAUUUGGGGGUCCAUUGUGCCCGGCAAAUAUCUCUCUCUCUCCUCCCCUCCGAAAUUCAUAGGCAGUCCCAUGUUUAUCCAACCUGUUGCGUGGGCUUUGUAAAAAGGUAGGCGUUUCUCCAGUCUGGAGGAGGCUCACUUUGCGCCAACGUGGCAAGUCGGGGAUGCAUGGAUUGGCCUCUCAAAGAGAAUAAAAUAAAAACCCCCAGUAGAUUUUUAUUAUUAUUAGAAACCAAAGGUUGACCUCGGAUCAGGUAGGGAUACCCGCUGAACUUAAGCAUAUCAAUAAGCGGAGGAAAAGAAACCAACCGGGAUUGCCUCAGUAACUGCGAGUGAAGUGGCAAAAGCUCAAAUUUGAAAUCCGGUACCUUAGGUGCCUGACUUGUAAUUUGGAGAGACAAAUUUGGUUGGCAGCGCCGGCCUAGGUUCCUUUGAACAGGACAACAUAGAGGGUGAGAAUCCCGUUCCUGGUCGGAAUGGCUGUCACAUUGCUAAAUUGUCUUCGACGAGUCGAGUUGUUUGGGAAUGCAGCUCAAAAUGGGUGGUAAAUGUCAUCUAAAGCUAAAUAUUGGCGAGAGACCGAUAGCGCACAAGUAGAGUGAUCGAAAGAUGAAAAGCACUUUGAAAAGAGAGUCAAAAAGUACGUGAAAUUGCUGAAAGGGAAGCGCUUGAGACCAGACUCGAACCNUNNUGAUCUGCCGUGCUUCUGUGCGGAGCCACUUGCCGCGGUUUGGGCCAGCAUCGGUUCUGGC